UAAGCCAAGUUUGGUGAGGUUGCAAAGA
RNAcentral lists this non-coding RNA (28 nucleotides) under Homo sapiens (human). Lineage: Eukaryota; Metazoa; Chordata; Mammalia; Primates; Hominidae. The record is from RNAcentral.